GCUCUGUAUAUACUAUUGGACAAAUUGCUGUCUGGUUAGACCUUUACCUUUGUCGUUUGUACUACUAUAACUUUCCCUUACUGAUGUAGGACAAAAUGGCAAGUUUGAAUGAGAAACUUAUUAAAGCUGCUCGUGACGGAAGUUUAACAGAUUUGAAACUUUUCAUUGAAAAGGGCGCUGAUUUAGAAUACAGAGGUGAAG
This is a long non-coding RNA of Mytilus trossulus (common blue mussel), 201 nucleotides long. RefSeq lists it as uncharacterized. NCBI's taxonomy places the organism in Eukaryota, Metazoa, Mollusca, Bivalvia, Mytilida, Mytilidae. The record is from RefSeq and is a predicted model, not a curated record. The transcript is spliced from 3 exons.